AGGGAUAUGUCCUGUCCCUUCAUCCCACUUCGUCCGGUCCUCG
This 43-nucleotide unclassified non-coding RNA is filed under the name Sorangium cellulosum So ce56. Its description in RNAcentral is "sce_s2m_43". The record is from RNAcentral. Lineage: Bacteria; Pseudomonadati; Myxococcota; Polyangiales; Polyangiaceae.